GACGAACGCUGGCGGCGUGCUUAACACAUGCAAGUCGAGCGGUAAGGCUCCUUCGGGAGUACACGAGCGGCGAACGGGUGAGUAACACGUGAGCAAUCUGCCCUUCUCAUCGGAAUAACCAUUGGAAACGAUGGCUAAUGCCGAAUACGACUUCCUUUCGCAUGUCAGGAAGUGGAAAGCUCCGGCGGAGAAGGAUGAGCUCGCGGCCUAUCAGCUUGUUGGUGAGGUAAUGGCUCACCAAGGCGACGACGGGUAGCCGGCCUGAGAGGGUGACCGGCCACACUGGGACUGAGACACGGCCCAGACUCCUACGGGAGGCAGCAGUGGGGAAUAUUGGACAAUGGGCGAAAGCCUGAUCCAGCAACGCCGCGUGAGGGAUGACGGCCUUCGGGUUGUAAACCUCUUUCAGCAGGGACGAAGCGAAAGUGACGGUACCUGCAGAAGAAGGACCGGCCAACUACGUGCCAGCCGCCGCCGUAA
Molecule: ribosomal RNA, 480 nt
Filed under: uncultured bacterium
Lineage: Bacteria
Description: partial 16S ribosomal RNA
Rfam family: Bacterial small subunit ribosomal RNA
Source: RNAcentral